ACAACUACCAGCCCAACAACCUGUGUUCAGCCACAACUACCAAGCCAGCCUCAGGUCUUUAUUCCUCAACAAGUAUCUCCACUAUUGACUCCCUUUACCUUGUGUCCAACUACAUCUUUAUGCAACCAUGCUGCUAAACCCCUGGUUGACGAGGUAGUGGACGGCAGAGCAUACCACUUCUCAUGGUGUCACGACUCUGGUCGACUCUACACCUGGGAGCAAGCAACUUAUUACUGCUCUGGGCUUGGCAACGGGUCCAGGCAGUCGGUAUUGAAAGUCACAGGAAGCAAGGGUUAAUUUCCAACUGUGAUUACACACUACAUCAGCAACAUCUGGACGAGCGGCAACAAACGGAACUCGAGGUCUCGGUCGUGGUUAUCUGGCACUUCCUCUCCCUACUCUAACUGGUCUAGCACUGGCAGUUGAGA
This is a non-coding RNA of Procambarus clarkii (red swamp crayfish), 428 nucleotides long. Lineage: Eukaryota; Metazoa; Arthropoda; Malacostraca; Decapoda; Cambaridae. The record is from RefSeq and is a predicted model, not a curated record.